GGGGGCGACAUGGUUUCGACGCAAGUCGCAAAGCCUUAGGUGCAUGCCGAGGAUGUAGCUUUCCCUCGUAAAAAAAGCUGCCAACUUAAAUAUAGUUGCCAACGACGAAAACUACGCUCUAGCGGCCUAAAUCCCGCUAGCCGUUGACCGGAUGGUGCCUGUGCCUCCGAAUCAACGGUCGUAGCUCACAGGAUCGCAGCUGACGGGUACCGCCUGCACUCGUCACUGUUAAAUCAAUCAGGCUAGUCGAAUGUGAUCCCUAGCUCGUUGGGCAGCGUUCGGCGAAUGUAAUAGACGGGCUAAGCAUGUAGAGCCGACGGUAGAGCUCUUGCGGACGCGGGUUCGAUUCCGCCGCCUCCACCA
This 363-nucleotide transfer-messenger RNA is filed under the name Alkalilimnicola ehrlichii. It matches the Rfam family "transfer-messenger RNA". From Rfam's summary of the family: Bacterial tmRNA, also known as 10Sa RNA or SsrA, is named for its dual tRNA and mRNA-like properties. Its role is to liberate the mRNA from a stalled ribosome. The record is from Rfam by way of RNAcentral. RNAcentral also lists the same sequence under 1 other name. Lineage: Bacteria; Pseudomonadati; Pseudomonadota; Gammaproteobacteria; Chromatiales; Ectothiorhodospiraceae.